RNAcentral lists this ribosomal RNA (499 nucleotides) under uncultured bacterium. Its description in RNAcentral is "bacterial SSU rRNA". It matches the Rfam family "Bacterial small subunit ribosomal RNA", at positions 28 to 508 of the family's 1533-position model. The record is from RNAcentral.
GACGAACGCUGGCGGCAUGCCUAAUACAUGCAAGUCGAGCGAACAGAUGAGGAGCUUGCUCCUCUGACGUUAGCGGCGGAUGGGUGAGUAACACGUGGGCAACCUGCCCUGCAGAUGGGGAUAACUCCGGGAAACCGGGGCUAAUACCGAAUGAUCAGUUUGUUCGCAUGAACAAACUCUAAAAGACGGUUUCGGCUGUCACUGCAGGAUGGGCCCGCGGCGCAUUAGCUAGUUGGUGGGAUAACGGCCUACCAAGGCGACGAUGCGUAGCCGACCUGAGAGGGUGAUCGGCCACACUGGGACUGAGACACGGCCCAGACUCCUACGGGAGGCAGCAGUAGGGAAUCUUCCACAAUGGACGGAAGUCUGAUGGAGCAAUGCCGCGUGAGUGAAGAAGGUUUUCGGAUCGUAAAACUCUGUUGUGAGGGAAGAACAAGUACAGGAGUAACUGUCUGUACCUUGACGGUACCUCAUUAGAAAGCCACGGCUAACUACGUGC